AUUGAACGCUGGCGGCAGGCCUAACACAUGCAAGUCGAACGGUAACAGGAAGAAGCUUGCUUCUUUGCUGACGAGUGGCGGACGGGUGAGUAAUGUCUGGGAAACUGCCUGAUGGAGGGGGAUAACUACUGGAAACGGUAGCUAAUACCGCAUAACGUCGCAAGACCAAAAAGGGGGACCUUCGGGCCUCUUGCCAUCGGAUGUGCCCAGAUGGGAUUAGCUAGUAGGUGGGGUAACGGCUCACCUAGGCGACGAUCCCUAGCUGGUCUGAGAGGAUGACCAGCCACACUGGAACUGAGACACGGUCCAGACUCCUACGGGAGGCAGCAGUGGGGAAUAUUGCACAAUAGGCGCAAGCCUGAUGCAGCCAUGCCGCGUGUAUGAAGAAGGCCUUCGGGUUGUAAAGUACUUUCAGCGGGGAGGAAGGGAGUAAAGUUAAUACCUUUGCUCAUUGACGUUACCCGCAGAAGAAGCACCGGCUAACUCCGUG
RNAcentral lists this ribosomal RNA (490 nucleotides) under uncultured bacterium. Its description in RNAcentral is "partial 16S ribosomal RNA". It matches the Rfam family "Bacterial small subunit ribosomal RNA", at positions 30 to 507 of the family's 1533-position model. The record is from RNAcentral.